This 468-nucleotide ribosomal RNA is filed under the name uncultured bacterium. RNAcentral's name for it is "partial 16S ribosomal RNA". It matches the Rfam family "Bacterial small subunit ribosomal RNA", at positions 28 to 507 of the family's 1533-position model. The record is from RNAcentral.
GACGAACGCUGGCGGCGUGCUUAACACAUGCCAGUCGAACGGAAAGGCCCUGCUUUUGUGGGGUGCUCGAGUGGCGAACGGGUGAGUAACACGUGCGUAACCUGCCCUUGACUUUGGGAUAACUUCAGGAAACUGGGGCUAAUACCGGAUAGGAGCUCCUGCUGCAUGGUGGGGGUUGGAAAGUUUCGGCGGUUGGGGAUGGACUCGCGGCUUAUCAGCUUGUUGGUGGGGUAGUGGCUUACCAAGGCUUUGACGGGUAGCCGGCCUGAGAGGGUGACCGGCCACAUUGGGACUGAGAUACGGCCCAGACUCCUACGGGAGGCAGCAGUGGGGAAUAUUGCACAAUGGGCGGAAGCCUGAUGCAGCAACGCCGCGUGCGGGAUGACGGCCUUCGGGUUGUAAACCGCUUUCGCCUGUGACGAAGCGUGAGUGACGGUAAUGGGUAAAGAAGCACCGGCUAACUACGUG